This 253-nucleotide ribosomal RNA is filed under the name uncultured bacterium. Its description in RNAcentral is "partial 16S ribosomal RNA". It matches the Rfam family "Bacterial small subunit ribosomal RNA", at positions 524 to 776 of the family's 1533-position model. The record is from RNAcentral.
GACGUAGGGCGCGAGCGUUGUCCGGAAUCAUUGGGCGUAAAGAGCGUGUAGGCGGCUUGCUAAGUCUUGCGUGAAAUCUCGGGGCUCAACCCCGAGCGGUCGUGGGAAACUGGCAGGCUAGAGUGCGGGAGAGGAGAAUGGAAUUCCUGGUGUAGCGGUGAAAUGCGCAGAUAUCAGGAAGAACACCCGUGGCGAAGGCGGCUUUCUGGGACGGUACUGACGCUGAGACGCGAAAGCGUGGGGAGCGAACAGG